Molecule: ribosomal RNA, 431 nt
Filed under: uncultured bacterium
Lineage: Bacteria
Description: bacterial SSU rRNA
Rfam family: Bacterial small subunit ribosomal RNA
Source: RNAcentral
ACGAACGCUGGCGGCAUGCCUAAUACAUGCAAGUCGAACGAGAUCUUCGGAUCUAGUGGCGCACGGGUGCGUAACGCGUGGGAAUCUACCCUUGGGUUCGGAAUAACUUCGGGAAACUGAAGCUAAUAUCGGAUGAUGACGAAAGUCCAAAGAUUUAUCGCCCAGGGAUGAGCCCGCGUAGGAUUAGCUAGUUGGUGGGGUAAAGGCUCACCAAGGCAACGAUCCUUAGCUGGUCUGAGAGGAUGAUCAGCCACACUGGGACUGAGACACGGCCCAGACUCCUACGGGAGGCAGCAGUAGGGAAUAUUGGACAAUGGGGGCAACCCUGAUCCAGCAAUGCCGCGUGAGUGAUGAAGGCCUUAGGGUUGUAAAGCUCUUUCGGUGGGGAAGAUAAUGACGGUACCCACAGAAGAAGCCCCGGCUAACUUCGU